AGCAGCCGCGGUAAUUCCAGCUCCAAUAGCGUAUAUUAAAGUUGUUGCAGUUAAAAAGCUCGUAGUUGAACUUCGGGGUCUACCCAUUGGUCAGGCUUAAUUGUCUGUACUGGUGAGAUGGAUCUCUACCUUCUGAGGAACUUUCAUGCCAUUUAUUUGGUGGGGUUGGAAAUCAGGACUGUUACUUUGAAAAAAUUAGAGUGUUUAAAGCAGACUAUCGUCUGAAUACAUUAGCAUGGAAUAAUGAAAUAGGACGGACUGAUUCUAUUUCGUUGGUUUCUAGGAUCACCGUAAUGAUUAAUAGGGAUAGUUGGGGGCAUUAGUAUUCAAUUGUCAGAGGUGAAAUUCUUGGAUUUAUUGAAGACUAACUACUGCGAAAGCAUUUGCCAAGGAUGUUUUCAUUAAUCAAGAACGAAAGUUAGGGGAUCGAAGACGAUCAGAUACCGUCGUAGUCUUAACCAUAAACUAUGCCGACUAGGGAUCGGACGAAGUUAAUUUUAUAAUGACGCGUUCGGCACCUUACG
RNAcentral lists this ribosomal RNA (524 nucleotides) under uncultured Diversisporaceae. Its description in RNAcentral is "SSU rRNA". It matches the Rfam family "Eukaryotic small subunit ribosomal RNA", at positions 569 to 1092 of the family's 1831-position model. The record is from RNAcentral. Lineage: Eukaryota; Fungi; Glomeromycota; Glomeromycetes; Diversisporales.